GAUGAACGCUGGCGGCGUGCCUAACACAUGCAAGUCGAACGAAAACACAGGGAGCUUGUGCCUUCGCCGUUAGCGGGGGGCGGGCGGGUGACACGUAGAUCACCAACUUCUUUUUCUGGGGUGAUAACGGGAAAAAGGUUAUGAUACCGCAUCAUAUUUCGAACCGCAGAAUUCGAUGGAGAUAGAUGGCUUUGCCGAUACAUAUAGAUGGCGCCGGAUUAGCUAGUUGGGUGGGUAACGGCCUACCAAGGCAACGAUACGUAGCGGGCCUGAGAGGAUGAUCGGCCACACUGGAACUGAGACACGGUCCAGACUCCUACGGGAGGCAGCAGUAGGGAAUAUUGCGCAAUGGGCGAAAGCCUGACGCAGCAACACCGCGUGAGUGAUGAAGGUCUUCGGGUCGUAAAGCCCUGUUAUUGGGGAAGAACAAACGUGGAAUAAACUGUCGACGUUCUGACGGUACCUAAUCAAUAAGCACCGGCUAACUACGUG
This 492-nucleotide ribosomal RNA is filed under the name uncultured bacterium. RNAcentral describes it as "partial 16S ribosomal RNA". It matches the Rfam family "Bacterial small subunit ribosomal RNA", at positions 28 to 507 of the family's 1533-position model. The record is from RNAcentral.